RNAcentral lists this ribosomal RNA (425 nucleotides) under uncultured bacterium. RNAcentral's name for it is "partial 16S ribosomal RNA". It matches the Rfam family "Bacterial small subunit ribosomal RNA", at positions 354 to 796 of the family's 1533-position model. The record is from RNAcentral.
GUGGGGAAUAUUGGACAAUGGGCGCAAGCCUGAUCCAGCCAUGCCGCGUGAGUGAUGAAGGCCUUAGGGUUGUAAAGCUCUUUCACCGAUGAAGAUAAUGACGGUAGUCGGAGAAGAAGCCCCGGCUAACUUCGUGCCAGCAGCCGCGGUAAUACGAAGGGGGCUAGCGUUGUUCGGAUUUACUGGGCGUAAAGCGCACGUAGGCGGUUUGUUAAGUCAGAGGUGAAAUCCCGGAGCUCAACUCCGGAACUGCCUUUGAUACUGGCAAGCUAGAGUCCGGAAGAGGUAAGUGGAACUCCUAGUGUAGAGGUGGAAUUCGUAGAUAUUAGGAAGAACACCAGUGGCGAAGGCGGCUUACUGGUCCGGAACUGACGCUCAUGCACGAAAGCGUGGGGAGCAAACAGGAUUAGAAACCCGGGUAGUCC